UCAUCAAGGCCAAUGGGAGAAGAGAGAGAGUACAGCCCAUCUCUCUCUCUCUCUCUCUCUCUCUCUCUCUCUCUCUAGUUAUGUAGUUAUGGGUUGGAGUAAGUGGGCUGUACCCUCUCUCUUCUUCUCUUGGCCUUUUGAUGG
This 144-nucleotide microRNA precursor is filed under the name Ananas comosus (pineapple). RNAcentral's name for it is "MIR529 microRNA precursor family". It matches the Rfam family "MIR529 microRNA precursor family". The record is from Rfam by way of RNAcentral. Lineage: Eukaryota; Viridiplantae; Streptophyta; Magnoliopsida; Poales; Bromeliaceae.